RNAcentral lists this ribosomal RNA (253 nucleotides) under uncultured bacterium. RNAcentral's name for it is "partial 16S ribosomal RNA". It matches the Rfam family "Bacterial small subunit ribosomal RNA", at positions 524 to 776 of the family's 1533-position model. The record is from RNAcentral.
UACGUAGGGUGCGAGCGUUGUCCGGAAUUAUUGGGCGUAAAGGGCGCGUAGGCGGCUUCUCAAGCGUGUGGUGAAAGUCCGGGGCUCAACCCCGGAUCGGCCGUGCGGACUGGGGAGCUCGAGUUCUGUAGAGGCGGGUGGAAUUCCGGGUGUAGCGGUGGAAUGCGUAGAGAUCCGGAAGAACACCGGUGGCGAAGGCGGCCCGCUGGGCAGAGACUGACGCUGAGGCGCGACAGCGUGGGGAGCAAACAGG